CUACGUGCCAGCAGCCGCGGUAAUACGGAGGAUGCGAGCGUUAUCCGGAUUUAUUGGGUUUAAAGGGUGCGUAGGCGGCCUGUUAAGUCAGCGGUGAAAUCUAGGAGCUUAACUCCUAAAUUGCCAUUGAUACUGGCGGGCUUGAGUGUAGAUGAGGUAGGCGGAAUGCGUGGUGUAGCGGUGGAAUGCAUAGAUAUCACGCAGAACUCCGAUUGCGAAGGCAGCUUACUAAGGUACAACUGACGCUGAAGCACGAAAGCGUGGGUAUCAAACAGGAUUAGAUACCCUGGUAGUCCACGCAGUAAACGAUGAUAACUGGGCGUAUGCGAUAUACAGUAUGCUCCUAAGCGAGAGCGUUAAGUUAUCCACCUGGGGAGUACGCCGGCAACGGUGAAACUCAAAGGAAUUGACGGGGGCCCGCACAAGCGGAGGAACAUGUGGUUUAAUUCGAUGAUACGCGAGGAACCUUACCCGGGCU
RNAcentral lists this ribosomal RNA (478 nucleotides) under uncultured bacterium. RNAcentral describes it as "bacterial SSU rRNA". It matches the Rfam family "Bacterial small subunit ribosomal RNA", at positions 501 to 981 of the family's 1533-position model. The record is from RNAcentral.